CUACGGGGUGCUCCAGUGGGGAAUAUUGGACAAUGGGGGAAACCCUGAUCCAGCAAUGCCGCGUGUGUGAAGAAGGCCUGCAGGUUGUAAAGCACUUUCGGUUGGGAGGACUGCUUCUGGCACUAAUAUUGUUGGAAGUUGACGUUACCUUCAGAAGAAGCACCGGCUAACUCCGUGCCAGCAGCCGCGGUAAUACGGAGGGUGCAAGCGUUAAUCGGAAUUACUGGGCGUAAAGCGCGCGUAGGCGGCUAGAUCAGUCGGGUGUGAAAGCCCCGGGCUUAACCUGGGAACUGCAUCCGAUACUGUCUAGCUUGAGUACAGGAGAGGAGAGUGGAAUUCCACAUGUAGCGGUGAAAUGCGUAGAUAUGUGGAGGAACACCAAUGGCGAAGGCAGCUCUCUGGCCUGAUACUGACGCUGAGGUGCGAAAGCGUGGGGAGCGAACAGGAUUAGAUACCCUAGUAGUC
RNAcentral lists this ribosomal RNA (465 nucleotides) under uncultured bacterium. RNAcentral describes it as "partial 16S ribosomal RNA". It matches the Rfam family "Bacterial small subunit ribosomal RNA", at positions 339 to 795 of the family's 1533-position model. The record is from RNAcentral.